UGGGGAAUAUUGGACAAUGGGCGCAAGCCUGAUCCAGCCAUGCCGCGUGAGUGAUGAAGGCCUUAGGGUUGUAAAGCUCUUUCGCCGACGAAGAUAAUGACGGUAGUCGGAGAAGAAGCCCCGGCUAACUUCGUGCCAGCAGCCGCGGUAAUACGAAGGGGGCUAGCGUUGUUCGGAAUCACUGGGCGUAAAGCGCACGUAGGCGGAUUGUUAAGUCAGGGGUGAAAGCCUGGAGCUCAACUCCAGAACUGCCCUUGAUACUGGCAAUCUCGAGUCCGGAAGAGGUAAGUGGAACUGCGAGUGUAGAGGUGAAAUUCGUAGAUAUUCGCAAGAACACCAGUGGCGAAGGCGGCUUACUGGUCCGGUACUGACGCUGAGGUGCGAAAAGCGUGGGGAGCAAAACAGGAUUAGAUACCCUGGUAGUCCACGCCGUAAAACGAUGGAGGCUAGCCGUUGGCGAGCAUGCUCGUCAGUGGCGCAGCUAACGCAUUAAGCCUCCCGCCUGGGGAGUACGGUCGCAAGAUUAAAAACUUAAAAUGAAAUUGAC
Molecule: ribosomal RNA, 547 nt
Filed under: uncultured bacterium
Lineage: Bacteria
Description: partial 16S ribosomal RNA
Rfam family: Bacterial small subunit ribosomal RNA
Source: RNAcentral